This 481-nucleotide long non-coding RNA is filed under the name Homo sapiens (human). Its description in RNAcentral is "HSALNT0342535". The record is from RNAcentral. Lineage: Eukaryota; Metazoa; Chordata; Mammalia; Primates; Hominidae.
UUUGUAAACUGUAUGGCACUGGCGGGAGUGUCUUUAGCAUGUUAGCGCAUUAUAUAAUUAGUGUAUAAUGAGCAGUGAGACGACUGGAGGUCACUUUCAUCGCCAUCUUGGUUUUGGUGGGUUUUGGACAGCUUCUUUACGCAUGCUGUUUUAUCAGCAAGGUCUUUGUGACCUGUAUCUUGUGCCGACCUCCUAUCUCAUCCUGUGACUAGGAAUGCCUUAACCUCCUGGAAUGCAGCUCAUGUCACCCUGCUUGCACAUGGAAGGGAGGCCUGAGAGGCUGCAGAAUGGCCCUGGAGAAGGCAAGAGACAUCAUCUGGUUGGCCUGGAGUGCACGUCUGUGAGAGACUUUGGGGCAGUUCUCUCUUCUCUAUGCUAGAGCCAUUGAUGCCCUGUGCACUUCAUUGCCUUUGACCAUCAUUCCUUGCUCCUGGAAUGCCACCUCCUCUUUGCCACAGUUAAUAAAACCAGCUGAAGCCUC